GAUGAACGCUGGCGGCGUGCCUAAUACAUGCAAGUAGAACGCUGAAGGAGGAGCUUGCUCUUCUGGAUGAGUUGCGAACGGGUGAGUAACGCGUAGGUAACCUGCCUGGUAGCGGGGGAUAACUAUUGGAAACGAUAGCUAAUACCGCAUGACAACAGUUAUUGCAUGAUAACUGUUUAAAAGGGGCAACUGCUCCACUACCAGAUGGACCUGCGUUGUAUUAGCUAGUUGGUGAGGUAACGGCUCACCAAGGCGACGAUACAUAGCCGACCUGAGAGGGUGAUCGGCCACACUGGGACUGAGACACGGCCCAGACUCCUACGGGAGGCAGCAGUAGGGAAUCGUCGGCAAGGGACGGAAGUCUGACCGAGCAACGCCGCGGGAGUGAAGAAGGUUUUCGGAUCGGAAAGCUCUGUUGUAAGAGAAGAACGAGUGUGAGAGUGGAAAGUUCACAGUGUGACGGUAUCUUACCAGAAAGGGACGGCUAACUACGUG
RNAcentral lists this ribosomal RNA (495 nucleotides) under uncultured bacterium. Its description in RNAcentral is "partial 16S ribosomal RNA". It matches the Rfam family "Bacterial small subunit ribosomal RNA", at positions 28 to 507 of the family's 1533-position model. The record is from RNAcentral.